AGCUCAGAUGCAGAUUUGCAUGGAGGCUCCGCCCUCCUCUGAGGCAGAGUGAGUAAGACAGGGCUGGGGCCAGGCCCAGUGCUGGGGUCUCUGGAGGCAGCGCUCUCAGGACGUCCCCACCAUGGCCUGGGCUCUGCUCCUCCUCACCUUCCUCACUCAGGGCACAGGGUCCUGGGCUCAGUCUGCCCUGACUCAGCCUCGCUCAGUGUCUGGGUCUCCUGGACAGUCGGUCACCAUCACCUGCACUGGAACCAGCAGUGAUGUUGGGGGUUAUAACUAUGUCUCCUGGUACCAGCAGCACCCAGGCACAGCCCCCAAACUCAUGAUUUAUGAUGUCAGCAGUCGGCCCUCAGGGGUCCCUAAUCGCUUCUCUGGCUCCAAGUCUGGCAACACGGCGUCCCUGACCAUCUCUGGGCUCCAGGCUGAGGACGAGGCUGAUUAUUACUGCAGCUCAUAUACAAGCAGCAGCACUCUCCACAGUGGUCCAGGUUCAUGGGGAACUGAGACCAAAACCUUCCCUGGGCUCUCAGGCUCCCUCCUUGCUCUGAAGAUGCUUCCUCACCCUGUGCCAGGGGCUUCCUGCAUUGCUGCCUUGAGAGUUCCCCUCUCAGCCCCUCUCCUUUCCCACCAUGAAGUCCAUAAGUGA
Non-coding RNA from Cebus imitator (Panamanian white-faced capuchin), 646 nucleotides. The record is from the annotation of a RefSeq genome assembly. NCBI's taxonomy places the organism in Eukaryota, Metazoa, Chordata, Mammalia, Primates, Cebidae.